RNAcentral lists this ribosomal RNA (1287 nucleotides) under uncultured bacterium. Its description in RNAcentral is "partial 16S ribosomal RNA". It matches the Rfam family "Bacterial small subunit ribosomal RNA", at positions 94 to 1399 of the family's 1533-position model. The record is from RNAcentral.
AGUGGCGAACGGGUGAGUAACACGUAGGUAACCUGCCCAUGUGCCCGGGAUAACGGUUGGAAACGACUGCUAAAACCGGAUAGGUAGGAGGAAGGCAUCUUCCUUCUAUUAAAGGGGCUCCGGCCCUGAACAUGGAUGGACCUGCGGUGCAUUAGCUAGUUGGUGAGGUAACGGCCCACCAAGGCGACGAUCAGUAGCCGACCUGAGAGGGUGAUCGGCCACAUUGGAACUGAGACACGGUCCAAACUCCUACGGGAGGCAGCAGUGGGGAAUAUUGCACAAUGGGGGAAACCCUGAUGCAGCAACGCCGCGUGAAGGAUGAAGGCCCUUGGGUCGUAAACUUCUGUUCUAAGGGAAGAUAAUGACGGUACCUUAGGAGCAAGUCCCGGCUAACUACGUGCCAGCAGCCGCGGUAAUACGUAGGGGGCAAGCGUUAUCCGGAAUUAUUGGGCGUAAAGAGUGCGUAGGUGGUUUCCUAAGCAUGGGGUUUAAGGCAAUGGCUUAACCAUUGUUCGCCCCAUGAACUGGGUGACUUGAGUUCUGGAGAGGAAAGCGGAAUUCCUAGUGUAGCGGUGAAAUGCGUAGAUAUUAGGAGGAACACCAGUGGCGAAGGCGGCUUUCUGGACAGAUACUGACACUGAGGCACGAAAGUGUGGGGAGCAAACAGGAUUAGAUACCCUGGUAGUCCACACCGUAAACGAUGAGCACUAGGUGUCGGGGUCGCAAGACUUCGGUGCCGCAGUUAACGCAUUAAGUGCUCCGCCUGGGGAGUACGUACGCAAGUAUGAAACUCAAAGGAAUUGACGGGGACCCGCACAAGCAGCGGAGCAUGUGGUUUAAUUCGAAGCAACGCGAAGAACCUUACCAGGGCUUGACAUCCCUCUGACAGAUCUGAUAACGAUGAUCUUUCUUCGGACAGAGGUGACAGGUGGUGCAUGGUUGUCGUCAGCUCGUGUCGUGAGAUGUUGGGUUAAGUCCCGCAACGAGCGCAACCCUUGUUUCUAGUUGCCAUCAUUAAGUUGGGCACUCUAGAGAGACUGCCGGGGAUAACUCGGAGGAAGGUGGGGAUGACGUCAAAUCAUCAUGCCCCUUAUGUUCUGGGCUACACACGUGCUACAAUGGUCGGUACAAAGAGCAGCAAGACCGCGAGGUGGAGCAAAUCUCAAAAGCCGAUCCCAGUUCGGAUUGCAGGCUGCAACUCGCCUGCAUGAAGUCGGAGUUGCUAGUAAUCGUGGAUCAGAAUGCCACGGUGAAUGCGUUCCCGGGUCUUGCACUAACCGCCCGUCA